This is a long non-coding RNA of Lycium barbarum (goji berry), 379 nucleotides long. RefSeq lists it as uncharacterized. The record is from RefSeq and is a predicted model, not a curated record. NCBI's taxonomy places the organism in Eukaryota, Viridiplantae, Streptophyta, Magnoliopsida, Solanales, Solanaceae. The transcript has 3 exons.
CACCAAGAUUAGUUACGACUAUAUUCUAUGCUCCAAAUGCAAACAUGUUUGGGAUGAUCUCAAGGAACGUUUCAACAAGUCAAAUUUGACAAGAAUUUAUCAGAUUUGCACUGAAGUAGCAUGCCUAAGGCAAGGGAAUUGCGAGUACAAUAAGAGUGAAUAGAGCUUUGUGAACCUAGGCAUCGAGUGGGGUCUCUCCUGAUCAAAGAGACCUAAUCUUGCAACAAUGUGGCUAUGUUAAAGGACUUUCUCUUGGACAACCAAAAACCUUUUGUAUGCUGGCAGACUUCAAUGGGUGCAAACUGUCAUUUUGGUAUCCAAUCUUAUUGGACACAAUUAUUUGUGUUACCAGGCAAAGUCUGCAAAUGCAUUGAUGCUU